Non-coding RNA from Podarcis lilfordi (Lilford's wall lizard), 76 nucleotides. NCBI's taxonomy places the organism in Eukaryota, Metazoa, Chordata, Lepidosauria, Squamata, Lacertidae. The record is from the annotation of a GenBank genome assembly.
GCUAAAACAGUAGCUCAGUCGGUGGGGCAAAAGACUCUUAAUCUCAGGGUUGUGGGUUCAAGCCCCACAUUUGGCA